AGUCGGCCAGGCAGUCGCGCUUGCGAGCACGGCGUCGUCGCGCUCGGAGGGGAGGAAAGUCCGGGCUCCACAGGGCAGGGUGCCAGGUAACGCCUGGGGGGCGCGAGCCCACGGAAAGUGCCACAGAAAACGAACCGCCGAGCCUGCCUGCGGGCAGGUGGCAAGGGUGAAAAGGUGCGGUAAGAGCGCACCGCGCCGGUGGCAACACGCGGCGGCACGGUAAACCCCACCCGGAGCAAGACCAAAUAGGGGAGCGUACGGCCCGGUCUCAGCAUCGAAGCCGUGACCUGCGGCCCGCAGGGGCUCCCGGGUAGGUCGCAAGAGGCGUACGGUGACGUGCGUCCCAGAUGAAUGACUGUCCACGACAGAACCCGGCUUAUCGGCCGGCUCCC
RNAcentral lists this RNase P RNA (392 nucleotides) under uncultured Thiohalocapsa sp. RNAcentral describes it as "Bacterial RNase P class A". It matches the Rfam family "Bacterial RNase P class A". Rfam says of the family: Ribonuclease P (RNase P) is a ubiquitous endoribonuclease, found in archaea, bacteria and eukarya as well as chloroplasts and mitochondria. Its best characterised activity is the generation of mature 5'-ends of tRNAs by cleaving the 5'-leader elements of precursor-tRNAs. Lineage: Bacteria; Pseudomonadati; Pseudomonadota; Gammaproteobacteria; Chromatiales; Chromatiaceae. The record is from RNAcentral.